Molecule: long non-coding RNA, 1393 nt
Organism: Wyeomyia smithii (pitcher-plant mosquito)
Lineage: Eukaryota; Metazoa; Arthropoda; Insecta; Diptera; Culicidae
Exons: 3
Source: RefSeq, a predicted model, not a curated record
AAAAGAAACAGUACAUGCGUACAGAGGAGGUUUUACACCUACAAUGGCACCAGCACAGCCAACCGGCGAGAUUCGUUGGCAGCGAUCGGAGCAGUUUGCGAUUUACCCACCAACCUGCGACGGCGAAACGAUCCAGUGUGACUCCGUGCGGUAGCGCAGCGACGGAAAUGUCACCACCGAGUUUGAACUUCCUUUUGCGGUAGGAUGUUGGAAUCAGUUGGAGGAUUUAUUCUUUUCGAAAAAAAAAUCAAAUAUUGGGAAUAGUGCGUUAUCACUGUUCGGAUUUUGUUUACAGGUUCGAAUAGAGUGAUUUACGCCACCACUCGAGAAAGCCUAGGACCACAUUCAUGCUACUGUAUAUGCUACAUAAAUGAUUAACCAAUAAUAAUAAUAAAAAGUCUACCCCAAAGAAAGCGGAUUAAUGAUUUGUAAAACUAUGAAGCCCGCGUUAGUAAUUAUCGUUUACCAAAGCGAAACACCACAAGAACGAGGCUCAUCCGAGUGAACAGACCCUACUUGAAUUCUCUUCUCUGUCUGCCAGUGCAUCACCAUAAUUGUCUGACCUUGGAACGUAAAUUUAAUUAACCUGUUCAAAUCAGUUAUGAGUUUAUAAAACAAAUCCUACAAAAAUACGUGACUUUGCAUUUGAACGAAGUUGUUCGAUAACUAGCAGCUGGGGCAACACAGGAAACUGGCGAUUUGAAUAUUAGUUGAAGCUUGAUAGUAUCCAUCGAGUCGGGUUGUGGGCAUGAAACUCUUUCUUUAAUAAUAAAAUAUAAAAUAGAAUGUGUUCCUAAUUGGUAGCUGUUGCCAACGAAUGCAUGUUGCACAUGUACAUGUAGGCUUAGGAAAGAUUUUAUGUUCUAACAACACUGAUAACCAUAACAUAAGUAAAUGAGUAAUGAUAUACAGUUGAAGAGCUCUAAUUGGCAAAUUUUUUCCCAUGCCCAGCAUAAAAUAUCAGGAAUAUCUAUCAUUUCAUGCACUGUUUAUUUGAACUCGCUUUUUUUCAAUGACAGUACCCUCAAAGCAAACCGAGCGUGUUUUGAACUCUCCACAUGAAUCAUUUCUUCCCACAUUUUAGGAAAUCUUUAUCACCUCUUCAAUAUGAAAUUAUGUAAUUAUUUUUGGCAUAACAAAUCGUCAAAAUUAUAAUCGAAAAAAUUCUUUUUUUAAAACACAUUUUUCCUUAUGUUACGUUAGACACAGUCUCAAAAUAGAUUCUCCCCACCUUCCAUGCACAUAAGCGUACAGCCAUUUGUUUUGAAUUGAAAUCAGAAAUCUAACUAGAAUCAAACAAAAAGUUAUCCCAAUUAUUAACAUUCAAAUAUAAUGUUAAAGUGGUAAUAAAAUCCAAUCUUUGUUAUAAUUGACUGCAUCAAUCCUCGUUUCA